GUAUCUUCGGAUAUGAGUAGAGCGGCGGACGGGUGAGUAACGCGUAGGAAUCUACCUAGUAGAAGGGGAUAGCCCGGGGAAACCCGGAUUAAUACCGUAUACCUCCUUCGGGAGAAAGAAGGCCUCUCUUUGAAGCUUUCGCUACUAGAUGAGCCUGCGUAAGAUUAGCUUGUUGGUGAGGUAAAGGCUCACCAAGGCGACGAUCUUUAGCUGGUCUGAGAGGACGAUCAGCCACAUUGGGACUGAGACACGGCCCAGACUCCUACGGGAGGCAGCAGUGGGGAAUAUUGGACAAUGGGCGCAAGCCUGAUCCAGCCAUACCGCGUGUGUGAAGAAGGCCUUCGGGUUGUAAAGCACUUUAAGCAGGGAGAAAAAGUUAUAAGUUAAUACCUUAUAACCCUGAUGUUACCUGCAGAAUAAGCACCGGCUAAUUCCGUGCCAGCAGCCGCGGUAAUACGGAAGGUGCAAGCGUUAAUCGGAAUUACUGGGCGUAAAGCGCGCGUAGGUGGUUUGUUAAGUUGGAUGUGAAAGCCCUGGGCUUAACCUAGGAACUGCAUCCAAAACUAACUCACUAGAGUACGAUAGAGGGAGGUAGAAUUCAUAGUGUAGCGGUGGAAUGCGUAGAUAUUAUGAAGAAUACCAGUGGCGAAGGCGGCCUCCUGGAUCUGUACUGACACUGAGGUGCGAAAGCGUGGGUAGCGAACAGGAUUAGAUACCCUGGUAGUCCACGCCGUAAACGAUGACAAC
This 747-nucleotide ribosomal RNA is filed under the name gamma proteobacterium SCGC AAA163-O07. RNAcentral describes it as "bacterial SSU rRNA". It matches the Rfam family "Bacterial small subunit ribosomal RNA", at positions 74 to 816 of the family's 1533-position model. Lineage: Bacteria; Pseudomonadati; Pseudomonadota; Gammaproteobacteria. The record is from RNAcentral.